GGUUAUAGCGAUACAGCGAUCGAUCACGAGAAAGAAGCGGAAAAGAAAAAAAAACUUCUCUCCCGUGCGCUAGCCCGUCGCCGCCUCCCGGAGCCGCUCGCCGCCUCCUCGCACGCGCCCGCCGGACCGCCAGGCGCCGCCGCCAACUCCGAGCGCGCACCCGCCGCAGCCGCGCCCCCUACCCCGCCACCUCCUCGCGCGUGCCCGACGCUCGCCCUACCCCGCCGUUGCUGCCUCCUCGCGGCCGCCAGUGAGCCAGGUUCGCCGUCGGCUGGCGCCUUCUCCACCACCGCCGCCGCCUCCUCGCGCGUGGCCUCUGGAGUUCUGGGCUCGCCGUCGGCCGGCUCCUCCUCGCGUGCGCCCGCCGGGGAGCUGUGGUGGGUUACGGCACUACGCAGUACAGACUCCAGGUUAAGGCACAGGGAGGCAACAAUCCAAUACAGGAGAGAUGGGAUGGGAUCCCAGCUCAAGGGAGCCCUGGCGGCAGCUACGGUCGGGAGGACCUAAGCCCUACAGGCAAGCUCUAUAAUCAACCCCCUUUUGCUUACCGGCGAUAAGUCAACCAACUUCCAGUGAUGCAGUCAAUAGUUUCUGAUCAGCUUGGAGUGGUCCAUGCCAUGUUGCUGUGAUAAUGCUACAGAUAGUUACUUCUAAUGUUUCAUGGAAAAGUUCGAGCUACAAAAAUUUCUUAAGCAAGCUUACGGAUUGUUUCUGAUGAGUUUAGCAACUCUAUGGAAACAAGCAUAAGUGCUUCUCAUCUGAUCAGUUCCAAGAGAGUAGCCAAGUAGGUAGAACAAUCCCAAAACUGCAAACUUAUUUUACUGUAUAUAUAUACUUUCCUUUUUAGCAUUUUCUGUAAAGUCCCAGUUCUGUAUUGCAGUUGGCAUGGUUGUGUUCAUCGGAAUAUUGAAUGUCAAAUUGAAAGGAGGCGCCAACCUAUAGCUAUCAACAACAAGGACACCAUGGUUCAGAUUCAUAAAUUUGGGGAUCAUGGAUGUCUAGGUUCAGAAAUUUUUGGAUUUUAGGCAACAAAUUUUGUAGAAUUUCCAAUUUAGAAAAACACAUUUUGCAUUUCGUUAUAAUGUAAUAAAAUACCAAUUUACGUUUAUUUGAUGAAUUAUCAAAGCAACGCUUACAAUACUUUUAUUUU
This 1150-nucleotide long non-coding RNA is filed under the name Oryza sativa Indica Group (long-grained rice). RNAcentral's name for it is "lncRNA OsLima_01g0016730". The record is from RNAcentral. Lineage: Eukaryota; Viridiplantae; Streptophyta; Magnoliopsida; Poales; Poaceae.